Molecule: ribosomal RNA, 253 nt
Filed under: uncultured bacterium
Lineage: Bacteria
Description: partial 16S ribosomal RNA
Rfam family: Bacterial small subunit ribosomal RNA
Source: RNAcentral
UACGAAGGGGGCUAGCGUUGUUCGGAAUCACUGGGCGUAAAGCGCACGUAGGCGGAUCUUUAAGUCAGGGGUGAAAUCCCGAGGCUCAACCUCGGAACUGCCUUUGAUACUGGGGAUCUCGAGUCCGGGAGAGGUGAGUGGAACUGCGAGUGUAGAGGUGAAAUUCGUAGAUAUUCGCAAGAACACCAGUGGCGAAGGCGGGCAUCUGGGCCAACACUGACGCUGAGGCGCGAAAGCUAGGGGAGCAAACAGG